UACGAAGGGGGCUAGCGUUGCUCGGAAUCACUGGGCGUAAAGCGCACGUAGGCGGCUUUUUAAGUCAGGGGUGAAAUCCUGGAGCUCAACUCCAGAACUGCCUUUGAUACUGAGAAGCUUGAGUUCGGGAGAGGUGAGUGGAACUGCGAGUGUAGAGGUGAAAUUCGUAGAUAUUCGCAAGAACACCAGUGGCGAAGGCGGCUGACUGGUCCGGAUCUGACGCUGAGGCGCGAAAGCGUGGGGAGCAAACAGG
Molecule: ribosomal RNA, 253 nt
Filed under: uncultured bacterium
Lineage: Bacteria
Description: partial 16S ribosomal RNA
Rfam family: Bacterial small subunit ribosomal RNA
Source: RNAcentral